UACAGAGGUCUCAAGCGUUGUUCGGAUUCAUUGGGCGUAAAGGGUGUGUAGGUGGCGCCGAAAGUCGGGUGUGAAAUUUCGGAGCUUAACUCCGAAACUGCAUUCGAUACUGCGGUGCUUGAGGACUGGAGAGGAGACUGGAAUUCAUGGUGUAGCAGUGAAAUGCGUAGAGAUCAUGAGGAAGACCAGUGGCGAAGGCGGGUCUCUGGACAGUUCCUGACACUGAGACACGAAGGCCAGGGGAGCAAACGGG
This 253-nucleotide ribosomal RNA is filed under the name uncultured bacterium. RNAcentral's name for it is "partial 16S ribosomal RNA". It matches the Rfam family "Bacterial small subunit ribosomal RNA", at positions 524 to 776 of the family's 1533-position model. The record is from RNAcentral.